Molecule: ribosomal RNA, 497 nt
Filed under: uncultured bacterium
Lineage: Bacteria
Description: partial 16S ribosomal RNA
Rfam family: Bacterial small subunit ribosomal RNA
Source: RNAcentral
GAUGAACGCUGGCGGCGUGCCUAAUACAUGCAAGUCGAGCGAACGGACGAGAAGCUUGCUUCUCUGAUGUUAGCGGCGGACGGGUGAGUAACACGUGGAUAACCUACCUAUAAGACUGGGAUAACUUCGGGAAACCGGAGCUAAUACCGGAUAAUAUUUUGAACCGCAUGGUUCAAAAGUAAAAGACGGUCUUGCUGUCACUUAUAGCUGAAUCCGCGCUGCAUUAGCUAGUUGGUAAGGUAACGGCUUACCAAGGCAACGAUGCAUAGCCGACCUGAGAGGGUGAUCGGCCACACUGGAACUGAGACACGGUCCAGACUCCUACGGGAGGCAGCAGUAGGGAAUCUUCCGCAAUGGGCGAAAGCCUGACGGAGCAACGCCGCGUGAGUGAUGAAGGUCUUCGGAUCGUAAAACUCUGUUAUUAGGGAAGAACAUAUGUGUAAGUAACUGUGCACAUCUUGACGGUACCUAAUCAGAAAGCCACGGCUAACUACGUG